UACGGAGGAUCCAAGCGUUAUCCGGAUUUAUUGGGUUUAAAGGGUGCGUAGGCGGAUUAGUAAGUCAGUGGUGAAAGCCCAUCGCUUAACGGUGGAAUUGCCAUUGAUACUGCUAGUCUUGAGUAUGGUUGAGGUGGGCGGAAUGUGUCAUGUAGCGGUGAAAUGCUUAGAUAUGACACAGAACACCAAUUGCGAAGGCAGCUCGCUAAGCCAUAACUGACGCUGAAGCACGAAAGCGUGGGGAGCAAACAGG
This 253-nucleotide ribosomal RNA is filed under the name uncultured bacterium. RNAcentral describes it as "partial 16S ribosomal RNA". It matches the Rfam family "Bacterial small subunit ribosomal RNA", at positions 524 to 776 of the family's 1533-position model. The record is from RNAcentral.